AGGUUCCGGUUCUGUGGUGAUCUGGACUGUCCCGACUGGGUCUUGGCAGAAAUCAGCACGCUGGCCAAGAUGGUUGAGUGCACAGGGUCUAGUCUGGGUGGAGGAGGGGUGUUGGGCUGGGGAUUGUGGGUGUAGAGGAUGGUGAGGUUUCUCUGGGGUUAGGCCCUCAGUGCUCUCAGCCUGUGCUACCAUGCUUUGUGACCUUGAUCAGUGGCUGGCCUGCUCUGAGGCUGUCCCCAGGAAGGAGGGGUGAGGUUUGCCAGCCUGGCUGAUGUAAGGACUUCCCUUCCAGUCCUCUGUGAAGUUGCGGCUGCUCUGCAGCCAGGUACUAAAGGAGCUGCUGGGACAGGGAAUUGAUUAUGAGAAGAUCCUGAAGCUCACGGCUGACGCCAAGUUUGGUGAGUACCUUGCUGAGUCUACAGGCCCCAGGCAACCCUGCGAACUUGGCCUGGUACCUGGUACAGAGGGGCCCCCUACCCCUCCCAGCAGCAUCCUUAACUUACCUUCCGUAGUGGAGGAGCAUGAGGGAAAGAAAGACUGACAGUCCCACCUUCUUGUCCUCUGCCAGCUCCUGGUGGAGCAGUAGCAGUGCCUGUGGCUCCAGGAGGCCUGGGGACUUUGAGCUGAAGUUAAUAGGGCAAAAGGGAGGUGGCUGGGCCCACAGUGACACCCCCUGUCCCAUAUACGGGUCCCUCAGAGUCAGGUGAUGUGAAGGCCACAGUGGCAGUGCUGAGUUUCAUCCUCUCCAGUGCGGCCAAGCACAGUGUCGAUGGCGAAUCCUUGUCCAGUGAACUGCAGCAGCUGGGGCUGCCCAAAGGUACGGGUUGUGGGUGGGCAGCUGGGCAGCCUGUGGGCCAAGGGCUGCUAGAGAGGGGGACGGACCCUGAGGUGUACCCUGCCCUGUUUGGGCCAGGAGCCCAAGCUCAGCUCCCACCUGCUACCUCCAGAGCUACUCCAUUCUACCCCCAGAGCACGCGGCCAGCCUGUGCCGCUGUUAUGAGGAGAAGCAAAGCCCCUUGCAGAAGCACUUGCGGAUCUGCAGCCUACGCAGUAAGUAUGAGGCCAGCCAGGGUCCGGGCUCAUUCUAGAAGGUGCACGCAGCACGCAAAGUGCAUGGAGAGUCCAGGGAGACGACUUAACCAUGGUCACAUGGUUACUAGCAGCCGUAGAGCUGGGACCUGGCCCUGGGUCUCCUGACUCCCCCCAAGGUUUCUUGUCACUGAGGUCUGCUGUGGGUGAUCCAAACUUAUUAUCGGGCACUGCCCUGUUGUGAGCCUGGGUCAGCAAGAUGGGAGCUUCUUAGAGGCCACAUAGCCUUAAAAGGUUGAGAGCUGAGCCAGGGUGUCGGCUGAGGGCCACUUGUCUCGUCUGCUUUGAUCCUGAGAGCCACCCACCCCAUCUCACAGUGAAUAGGUUGGCAGGUGUGGGCUGGCGGGUGGACUACACCCUGAGCUCCAGCCUGCUGCGGUCCGUGGAAGAGCCCAUGGUGCACCUGCGGCUGGAGGUGGCAGCUGCCCCAGGGACCCCAGCCCAGCCUGUUGCCAUGUCCCUCUCAGCAGACAAGUUCCAGGUCCUCCUCGCAGAACUGAAGCAGGCCCAGACCCUGAUGAGCUCCCUGGGCUGAGGAGAAGGGUGUUGCAGGCCUGUGUGGAGCCGCCCUGCCCGUAUGGAGUCACACCCUCUGAACUGCUCUUUGGGAGGCAGCCCUGGUUCUAGGAUGCUGAGGCCCUGGCCUGGACUCUGGCCUCCCAGAUCCCCAGCUGCCUCACUUGUCUCUUGAGAACUCGGCUCAGGGCUCCUGAGGACCUUUCCCAGCAUUACCUUCCCUUCCCUUGAAAGGCAAUUGUUGGCUGUUUUCAUGAGCAGGAAAAAUAAACAGAACUAUAAA
RNAcentral lists this small RNA (1888 nucleotides) under Pongo abelii (Sumatran orangutan). Its description in RNAcentral is "retained intron". Lineage: Eukaryota; Metazoa; Chordata; Mammalia; Primates; Hominidae. The record is from RNAcentral.